Molecule: ribosomal RNA, 623 nt
Filed under: Triticum aestivum (bread wheat)
Lineage: Eukaryota; Viridiplantae; Streptophyta; Magnoliopsida; Poales; Poaceae
Description: partial small subunit ribosomal RNA
Source: RNAcentral
CCGCCCCCGCCCCCGCCCCCCAUUGCUAGCUCCUCUUUUAUCCUCAGUCCAACACCUCGCACGCUCAUGUACAACAUCGUCGACCUGACCUGCCCUACCAUGAGGCAUCUCCGGUCGGCUUGCUUGUUUGGUCCGCACUCUCUAUUCUAUUGGAGGUGCGGACCAGGCAGGAGCAGAACGAAAACCAAGGCACUAGGAAGUACUAUAUAUGUUCCUGCCGAGGACGAUGCGACAUAUGCAUCAAUUCACGCAAAGGUGCGCCAGAUGAUCUGGCAGCAAGUCCCGUGCGUCCUUCGUCCAGCGUUUCAAAAUGUGAUUAGCUGGUAUAUGAUCCACACCAAGGACAUCAAGGACCUACACGUCAACAUUUUAUCAGGAUGCUGUUGACCAACAAGAGAAGGGGUACUUGUUGCAUACAGAAUGAGGGAGAUCUUAACGAAGAAGACUUUUUUUAUAUGGCACCUUUAAUGCAUGGCAACAAAGCAAUCCCGUGUAUUCGAAAUUACCACAUUCGCACACUAUCAGUGCGCCGUCAUCGACAACUUCAACUUUGUAGAAAACUCUACACCAUUUUUCAUGCUUCUCUGGGUGGUGUCGUCGCGCUAUAUAUGUUUUCCACCGGC